This 488-nucleotide ribosomal RNA is filed under the name Henicops maculatus. RNAcentral's name for it is "partial 16S ribosomal RNA". It matches the Rfam family "Bacterial large subunit ribosomal RNA", at positions 1832 to 2600 of the family's 2925-position model. Lineage: Eukaryota; Metazoa; Arthropoda; Chilopoda; Lithobiomorpha; Henicopidae. The record is from RNAcentral.
CGCUUUUUGUUUGCUUAUAAAAGGUAAAGUCUGCCCAAUGAGAUAUUAAAUGGCCGCGGUAUUUUGACCGUGCGAAGGUAGCAUAAUCAUUAGUCUAUUAAUUGUGGACUGGUAUGAAAGGCUAGAUGGUAAAAGGCUGUCUUUUUUAGUAAAAUGAAUUUUAAAUUUUUGUGAAGAUGCAAAAAUAAAAUUAAGGGACGAGAAGACCCUAUUAAGCUUAACAUGUAAAUUUUAGGUAAGAAAAUUAAAAGGAAAUGUUGUGUUGGGGUGACAGUAGAUAAUAACAUUUAUUAAAGUUAAAUAAUAUAAUUAGAUUAUUUAUGACCCAAAAAGUUUGAUUAAAAGAAUAAGUUACUAUAGGGAUAACAGCGUAAUCUUAUUGGAGAGUUCUUAUUGAUAAUAAGGGUUGCGACCUCGAUGUUGAAUUAGGAUACCCUUUAGGUGCAGAAGUUUAUUAGGGUGGUCUGUUCGACCAUUAAAAUCCUACA